CUGCCUCCACCUCCCGAGUGCUGAGAUUAUAGGCAUGUGCCAUUACACCCAGCUUGGAGGAAACUGAUGGAAGUCAACAGAGAGACAGAUUUACGGAGGACCCACAGAACAAUGACAAUAAUCUGAAUGAAUAGCAAGUGUGCACGGUCUGCAUCCUAUGGGCCCAGCACCACGCUAAGUGCUUUGCCAGUGGCUUGUGAGGUUUGUCUUUCCUCUUGCAUGGAUGAGGAAACUGAGACUCAAGAGGCGAACCCAGGGUGGCGCAGCUUGUGGAUGACACCAUGAGGACUCCGACCCUGCCCAAAGCCGUGCUUGUAACCCCAGGGACACAGGUGGGUGCUCCACAGAGCAAACGGAGACACAACCGAGCACCCACAUUCACAAGGACGGUGUUGCAUACAUCUGAAGCUUUUAUUCCAUAUCCAAGUUACACGUUAUUUUUUCCCUCUGGGAAAUCCGGAGGGCCCAGGUCACCUUCGGUUCCUUCUCCAGCCUUUUGCCGCUCAUCCUGAAAGCACUGUGCCAGGAACUGUGGGAACUGUAGAGAACAGUCAGCCGUAGAUCCUGCCUUCAAAGCGUUUUAAUCUAGGUGAUAAAUGAGAGUGAAAUGUAAGUGCUGAAUGAAGUGCUAAGCAAGUUUCCUUUUGGCUGCAUAAAUGUGAGUUGACUCAUUAUUCUGCCAAACAGCUCAGGUCUGAGCAGCCCUUGAGUUCAACACCUAACCCUUAAGACGAGGAACUUUGUUUUCUUCAUUUUAAAGGGCAAGAUAAGGCUUGAAGGCUGGGUGAGGCUGUCACUGUCAACCGCCAUGUUCUUUUAUGGUCACAGUAAUCUACGCCUGCCCAGAGAUUCGGAGAGGAGGGUAAAUUUAGGUUUGGUCACUGUGGGAGCCAUUCCAUGGCCUAGUCCUUCUGGCCUGCUGUGGAAUGACUGGUUCAGUUUAGGAAACUUUGAUUGAUGGUCUACAAGGAACUACACAGGAUGCGAGGUACUGAGGACCCGCGGCUCUACCACUAUCUAUACCUCCAAUCCUUAUCCAAACCAUGAAAGGACAUUCUGUGUGAAGAAAAGGGCCUGGACAAGUUCACUAAGAUGAUAAAUGAUGCCAAAGACCCAACCUGGGAGAUGUCGGGAGAUGAGGUGGAGGGCAGGUAGGACUUAGGGCUGGGAGUCCAUGGAGGCUGACGGAAGACCUCAAGUUUAUCCUGCUGUAGGUGGGACCCCUGGAAGCAGGGAACCACGUGACCGGCCAUCACUCUGACUACAGCCUGGAGGCCACAUGAUGGGGCCAGGGUGGUGCUGGGAACAGUAAUUGGUCACCAGGGGCCCAACCCAGAGAAAAGCCACCAGUGCCCGAAUUCUAGCAGGAGAGAAAAUGAUGAAGGAAGACAGUUCGACACCGUCCUCCAUUCCUGCACCUACUUGGGACCUGGCCAUCUCCAACUCACGCUGCCUUCCCCUUGCUUGCCUUUCUGCUUCCAGCUCCUCAGCCUUCCAGACACAUCAGCCUCCUGAAAGCCUCUCCUCAGACACUGAGGUGAAUAAAUUCAGGGAGGCAGAAGGCCACAUGGACAGUGGAGCAGAGGCAGAGCCUGCCAAGCGCCUUCCCUUCCAAGGUCCUUAUCCGAUCACCCUGGAGCUCCUGUCACUCUUCACAGUUUAUUAUGUCCAGCUCCUCCUCAGCUAGCCUAACUGAAUUGCAGACUGAGACACUGAGGAGGGAGUUCAGUCAUCCAGCUGCAGAUGGGUUCUGUUCUAACUCCGGUGAAAUUUAAGAUCAGUGGGCAUUGCAGUGAGCCUGCUCUGUCAGCGCAGCCCACUGCAGACACUGGGAUGAGUAGGAUAAUCGCUCCAUCCUGUCCUGUUAAAUCCACAGGCCAGUAGGAGCACAGAGGGACUGGCUCUGCUCCCAGGGGACAGGGAUCUCUUACCUGUGUCAGCAGUUAGCAUGCAUUCUGGGCUGUUCCUUGAACCUGUUGAUGGUUAUUACCACUCUCUGCCUUUUUCUUUAGGGCCCUCUGAAAGUGAGGGUCCCUAUAAAGCUUCUAAGAUAUUACAGUCUGCUGAGGGUUCUUGCUGAAUUCAUGUAGAAAUCAUAAAUUGGCCAUGUGCAGCUCCUUCAGUGUUAGCAACUCAGAACUUCGAGUGCUAGUGGCUAACAACUCUUUUGUUAUUAGCGGCCCUCCCAGUACUCAGAAGAGCCAGUGGCUACCAGCAGGCCUUGCGAACUCUUCCUGCCACCAAAGAUGGCAGCUCCCAGCUUCUCCGUCCCUCUCCAUCAUCUUUUCUCUACUGCUAGUCACCCUCAGUGUUACCAGCCUCUGCUGCUGGACACAGUUGACACCAGGGGCGUCUGGUGUUACCAGUUUUUAGCGCACAGCUCAGCAUCCUCUACUCAAGAAAGAGAUCGUGAAUAGGAAGAACAUCCAGAAAGAGGCUUUAUUAGGACUCACUCUGCACGAAGGGGUACAGUGGGUGGACUCACUUGCUGAGGAGAAUGGGAAGAUGACUUACAUAGGAAAAAUAAAAGGGUGAACUUGCUCAUGCAAUAUCAAAGUUUUAAUUUGGUCAUGGGUAGAAGAGGGGCCCUUUGGGAACCUAACUGAGGAAGGCUGCAGGGGGUGGAAUUAUCCCAAGAUCUACAGGAUACAGUCACCUGAGGUAGGUCCAUGUUGAAGCCUGCUGCAGCCAAAGCAAUACAGUAUCUCUUGGAGCAGCUUAAGGUUGCCCAGUGUAGCUGGGGCACCUGGCUGCAAGGCACCUGGGGCGGCUGGCAAAGAAAAAUAAAAAUUAUUUCUUAGUUUUGGGCCCUUCUCUCCUGACUCAUCUGCACU
Chinchilla lanigera (long-tailed chinchilla) is the source of this 2834-nucleotide long non-coding RNA. RefSeq lists it as uncharacterized. Lineage: Eukaryota; Metazoa; Chordata; Mammalia; Rodentia; Chinchillidae. The record is from RefSeq and is a predicted model, not a curated record. The transcript has 3 exons.